GAAACAGAAGAUCAGCAGAAUGAACCAAAUGUUCAGCAGCUGAUGCUCCACAAUGAUGAUCCGGAGAACAAUGUUACUUAUGCUGCUGUUGGUGGUUUCAAUCCAAAUACUUCCACUAAAGUAACAACACAGUCUCACUCCCGACUCAUCAAAAACCAACGCUUGGUCAGGACCC
Long non-coding RNA from Cololabis saira (Pacific saury), 175 nucleotides. RefSeq lists it as uncharacterized. The transcript has 3 exons. The record is from RefSeq and is a predicted model, not a curated record. NCBI's taxonomy places the organism in Eukaryota, Metazoa, Chordata, Actinopteri, Beloniformes, Belonidae.